ACACAUGCAAGUCGAGGGGCAGCGGGAUUGAAGCUUGCUUCAAUUGCCGGCGACCGGCGCACGGGUGAGUAACGCGUAUCCAACCUUCCGUACACUCAGGGAUAGCCUUUCGAAAGAAAGAUUAAUACCUGAUGGUAUGAUGAGAUCGCAUGAUAGCAUCAUUAAAGAUUUAUCGGUGUACGAUGGGGAUGCGUUCCAUUAGGUAGUAGGCGGGGUAACGGCCCACCUAGCCUACGAUGGAUAGGGGUUCUGAGAGGAAGGUCCCCCACAUUGGAACUGAGACACGGUCCAAACUCCUACGGGAGGCAGCAGUGAGGAAUAUUGGUCAAUGGACGAGAGUCUGAACCAGCCAAGUAGCGUGAAGGAUGAAGGUCUUACGGAUUGUAAACUUCUUUUAUAAGGGAAUAAACCCUCCCACGUGUGGGAGCUUGUAUGUACCUUAUGAAUAAGCAUCGGCUAACUCCGUGCCAGCAGCCGCGGUAAUACGGAGGAUGCGAGCGUUAUCCGGAUUUAUUGGGUUUAAAGGGAGCGCAGACGGGUCGUUAAGUCAGCUGUGAAAGUUUGGGGCUCAACCUUAAAAUUGCAGUUGAUACUGGCGUCCUUGAGUGCGGUUGAGGUGUGCGGAAUUCGUGGUGUAGCGGUGAAAUGCUUAGAUAUCACGAAGAACUCCGAUUGCGAAGGCAGCACACUAAUCCGUAACUGACGUUCAUGCUCGAAAGUGUGGGUAUCAAACAGGAUUAGAUACCCUGGUAGUCCACACGGUAAACGAUGGAUACUCGCUGUUGGCGAUAUACGGUCAGCGGCUUAGCGAAAGCGUUAAGUAUCCCACCUGGGG
RNAcentral lists this ribosomal RNA (835 nucleotides) under uncultured bacterium. RNAcentral's name for it is "bacterial SSU rRNA". It matches the Rfam family "Bacterial small subunit ribosomal RNA", at positions 51 to 878 of the family's 1533-position model. The record is from RNAcentral.